UACGUAGGUGGCGAGCGUUAUCCGGAAUGAUUGGGCGUAAAGGGUGCGUAGGCGGACUUUUAAGUGAGAUGUGAAAUACUCGGGCUCAACUUGAGUGCUGCAUUUCAAACUGGAAGUCUAGAGUGCAGGAGAGGAGAAUGGAAUUCCUAGUGUAGCGGUGAAAUGCGUAGAGAUUAGGAAGAACACCAGUGGCGAAGGCGAUUCUCUGGACUGUGACUGACGCUGAGGCUCGAAAGCGUGGGGAGCAAACAGG
Molecule: ribosomal RNA, 253 nt
Filed under: uncultured bacterium
Lineage: Bacteria
Description: partial 16S ribosomal RNA
Rfam family: Bacterial small subunit ribosomal RNA
Source: RNAcentral